GUACUUACCUGUCAGGGGAGAUACCAUGAUCCCGAAGGUGGUUUUCUUAGGGUGAGGCUGAUUCAUUGCAGUUGUGAUCUGCUGACCCCUGCAAUUUCCCCCAUGAGAGGGAAACUUGAUUGCAUAAUUUGUGUUGGUUGGGGGUUUCCAUGUGCGCUUCCCCCCA
Small nuclear RNA from Choloepus hoffmanni (Hoffmann's two-fingered sloth), 166 nucleotides. Its record names the gene U1. It matches the Rfam family "U1 spliceosomal RNA". From Rfam's summary of the family: U1 is a small nuclear RNA (snRNA) component of the spliceosome (involved in pre-mRNA splicing). Its 5' end forms complementary base pairs with the 5' splice junction, thus defining the 5' donor site of an intron. The record is from Ensembl. NCBI's taxonomy places the organism in Eukaryota, Metazoa, Chordata, Mammalia, Pilosa, Megalonychidae.